CACUUCUUCACUGCCUGACCAUCAUCUUAAUGUGUAAGAAGUUCAAUGUUUUUAUUUUUUUAAUAUCUAAAGCAGCUUGUUCAGUAAGUAUUUAGAUGUUUUUCAUAUCUGUCACGGUCUAAGCAUGAUCUGUUUCUGUUGUUCUGAUGAAGGAAACUUGUGUUGGGGAGGAUUCAAUGUCUGUUGAGGCACAUGUGAAUGUGCUACAAAGUGAGUUUCAGAAACACAUCCAGACACAUGGACUGUCAAAGACGACAUGGCAGGAACAUUCUCCUGGAGACGUUGAGAAAGCACGGAAGGAAUGUCUGAGGAGGAUGUACUCAAAAAAUACACAUACUUAAGGACACCUGCUGGAGGGGACCCGGCUACACCUUUCCUACCGUACACCUGAUGGAUACUGACUGUAAAAUGGCAAUAAUAGGAGGAGGGCUCAGUGUGGUGACAGAAGAUGGAAUAGACAUGUGUCAGUGCACCACCCUUGAUGAAGCCUUCAUAACAGCCUUGUGGAUGUAUUUUGCUUUCAACAUUGCAUAUCCACCACACCUGAGAAAGACACUGACUUUCCUUCAGAGGCACAUUGUCAACAUUAGAAGAUGGAGACAAGCACUGUCAGUAACUUUACUCUGAAUGAUUUGCCUCUUUUAUUAGAUCCUCAUGCCUUGACUGUACCAUUGCCCAAAGUGCAUUCAAAGGACAUUCAAUCUGUUGAAGUUAACCCAACAUGUUGGAGUUGUACAUGCACAUUAACCAAAUAGCUUGCUCUAUUCUUUUUCUAUUCAAUCUGUUUUCUUUUUAUUUAUUAUAUUAUUUAAAAGCCCUUGCUACGUGUACUGUGUUAAGCUAACUGAGACUUGUUAUAGCUCUUAUAUAUCAUUGCUCUUUUUGUUGUUUUUGAUUGCUUCAACUCUGUCCUCAUUUGUAAGUCGAUUUGAAUAAAAGCGUCUGCUAAAUGAA
Carassius carassius (crucian carp) is the source of this 954-nucleotide long non-coding RNA. RefSeq lists it as uncharacterized. Lineage: Eukaryota; Metazoa; Chordata; Actinopteri; Cypriniformes; Cyprinidae. The transcript is spliced from 2 exons. The record is from RefSeq and is a predicted model, not a curated record.